AUCCAUACAGGAGAGAAACCUUAUUCAUGUUCUCAGUGUGGGAAAAACUUUCGUCAGAACUCUCAUCGGAGUCGCCAUGAAGGAAUCCAUAUAAGGGAGAAAAUAUUUAAGUGUCCAGAAUGUGGGAAAACCUUCCCAGAGAAUAAAGACUUUGUGCUUCAUCUGCAGAGUCAUGAGGCUGAGAGGCCGUAUAGUUGCAAAAAAUGUGGGAGAAGAUUUGGUCGGCUUUCCAACUGUACCCGGCAUGAAAAAACCCACUCAGCAUGUAAGACACGAAAGCAGAAAUGGGAUCAGGAAAGGUCUGAUGGUCCUGCCUUGACCUGAAAUGUUUAAUAGGGAAUUCUAGAUUCCCAGGCUUCUGAAAAGAUGCAGAUAUGUGAAAACCUCAUUAUAGUCAAAAUUGGGAAAAUACCCAUCUUGGCUGAAACCUCAAAGUUUUAGAAAAUUUCACAGGGAAGAAGACAUUCUCAAGGGCUAUACCUCAGUCAGCAUCCACAUUUUCUGGAUUAAGGAGCUCUCUUUUGUGAACUUCUACAACAAUGUACAGGCCACAGAUCCCUUUUCCCCAAAAGGCUUUGAAUAGGGGUCUGGAGGCCACUUACCUGUAAGGUGAACAGAGUGGCUCAUGUGUACGGAAAGUGUAUCCAUUUUCCCCCCACACAGGAAUUCACACUUGUGAAAAAAAAAAUAAUGCAAAAGUCCUUAUCUGGAACUGUGUUCCCCUGCGAGAACCAAACUACUGAUUUAUUAAGCCAAGAGCUUCUAUUAGCAGUUCACAUAACCUUCUAAGAAUACCCUGUUGAAGCUUGAGUGUUGAAAGGGAUUGUUUACUUUGGAAUAUAGGAAAAUAACAGCAAGUGAAUGUCAAAGACUUACUCUGUCAUCUGUAUGUGAUCUAAACUAACCAUCGAUGUCAGUAACAUUUGCAUUUUGCAGUGAAAAGUGACUUUUACAGGAAUACUUUUCACAACAUACU
RNAcentral lists this long non-coding RNA (976 nucleotides) under Lynx pardinus (Iberian lynx). The record is from RNAcentral. Lineage: Eukaryota; Metazoa; Chordata; Mammalia; Carnivora; Felidae.